Molecule: RNA transcript, 4619 nt
Organism: Passer montanus (Eurasian tree sparrow)
Lineage: Eukaryota; Metazoa; Chordata; Aves; Passeriformes; Passeridae
Gene: TSPAN2
Gene name: tetraspanin 2
Exons: 9
Source: RefSeq, a predicted model, not a curated record
UCGGCGGAUCCGCCCGGCCCCGCACCUGCCCCCGGGGCCGCCCGCCGGAGUCGGGCCGAGCGCCGCGGAGCUGCUGCCGGAGCGCCCGCCAUGGGCGUGGGCUAUGGGGGGAUGCGCUGCGUCAAGAUCCUGCUCUUCAUCUUCAACCUGACCUUCUGGCUGGCAGGACUGGCUGUCAUUGCCUUCGGGCUGUGGCUGCGCUUUGGUGGGCCCAUGGCAGAGUUUGCUACAGACAAAAAGUCCCCGGAACUUUUCUUCAUGGGACUCUAUGUACUGGUGGGAGCAGGGGCCAUCAUGUCAGCAGUUGGAUUUUUCGGGUGCUGUGGAGCAGCGCGGGAGUCCCAGUGCUUAAUUGGAACAUUCUUUGCUUGCCUGUUGGUGAUAUUUGCAGGUGAGGUCACUGCUGGAGUAUUUGCCUUCAUAGGCAAGAAAGUGGCAAUACAGGAAGCCCAGAAAAUCUAUGAAGAUGCUUAUGAGGACUACAUGAAAAACCCAGUGGGGAAGAUGAACAGUACCAUCUAUCGCUACCACGUGGCUCUCCAGUGCUGUGGUAAAGGUAAUGUGGAACAACAAACAGGAUUACCCUGUCCAGAGAACAUCCAGCUGCCAAAGAACUGCCUGGCUGAAAUUCAGAAUGUAAUUGAUACUGAGCUGCGCUUAGUUGGAAUUGUGGGAAUUGCAAUUGCUAGCAUCACAAUCUUUGGCAUGAUAUUCAGCAUGGUUCUGUGCUGUACGAUCCGUAACAUGAGAGAAAUGAUCUAAAACUGUCACUGCACAACUAUGCCCCAGGAGUUCCAGACUAAGCUUACAAGAAGUGCUCUUCUACCCAAUUUAAUAAUUGUAAUGCAUUUUAAUCAGUGUUUUAACAUACUGAGAGGAAAAUAUCCUGUUAGGUGAUCAGGUGAAUUGUAUUAGUUACAGUAAAACUGAAGUGGACAAAAAAGGGGUUUAAAAUGUCCUUUUUAAUGAAAAAAGAGCAAAGAUGCAUCUAAGACUAAUUUGAUUUUUAAUGUUUAUAUAUGUGCAAUUAAGAGUUUACACAUGUAUAGACUUGUGUAAGCAUAUGCAUGUGUCUCCUUACAAACACCUCUGGAUGUGAGCAGGUCCCUGGAGGUGCAGUACCUGUCCAGGUAGAUGCCUGCAGAUGGAACACGUUGUGUGUGCACAUCCCCCAGGGACACAGUGCUCAGAACCCCUUCACACAGAGCCCCUGUCUGCCAAGAAUUAGCAGAGGGACAAAUGCCAUUGUAAAAAGUAAGACCUAUGAUCCAUUUUGUGACUUUAUUUUCCAAAGCCCAAACAGAACAGAACUAAUAAAAUUGUACUUUAUUUAAAAAAAAAAAUUAAUGCCUUAGGGCCUGCUCCAGCAAACGUGAAGAGUAGACCCACUGACUUCACUGCCAUGCAGAGACUGGGUAUUUGUUUUUUGUAGGACUGGACCCUUCAUGCAAAUGCAGAAAGCUCUGGGGGAGAAAACACAUCCAAGGAGAUCCAGGCUAAGGAAGAGGGGGAAAGAGGUGGGAAGCUGGCAAGACCAGGCAGUCAUUUGGGACCAACUGCAGUGCAAAGUGUGCUGAAGCUUCCCAAGCUAGGCUGAGAUACACCAAAAAACCCAACUGUGAGUUCAAGGGGCCACUAGAAUCCACAUUCAGCAGCCUCUUUAUCCCAAAAGCCUCACUGUGGCUACAAGCUGGUGCAGGAGUGGAGCCUAGGUGCAGAAAAGCAGCCCCUUUGUCAGAUCUCUAGAGAAUCUAACUGGCCUGUGGAAGCCAAACCAAGAGCGAAAGCAUCAGAAAAAGACACACAGCACUUUAAUAUCCUCAGUUUCUGCUUCUGUGACUAUCACAGCUUCCACGGGGCUCUUACCUCAACCUCUCACCCCUUCCUGGGGGCAGAAGGCAGGAAAGAAAGAUGGGACAUUUUUACAGAGCCAUGAAGUUUUCUUACUGGCACCUUUAGAUUGCUUGUCAGGUAGAAAAAUUACACUGUGUGCUUGAAAUACCUCAGGGCUUGCGUUUACAUAGUUUUAUUCUAUAUUUUAAUUUUGCUAUUUGUCAUAUUUAUUCAUAAGAGAAUGUUCCUUUUGAACCAGCCUAGAAGGGAGAAAGGUUGUCCCCAGAAAAAUGAGUUACAUCAAAGGCUCAGGAUCUCUUAAUUUUUGGCUUACUUGAGAUAAUUCACCAUUUCAGAGAACAACUUUUUGCUAAGUAUGCCCCCAUAGCAGCAGAUCUGGUGAUCACCAGUUCAGAUUCCUGAUGCAGUUGUUCCAGACAUGCUGGGGAGAAGUUCAGUUAAACUACACCUUCCAAUAGACCAUUGUCUAAGAGGCCUUGGAAUUUACAAGUCAUGGGCUCCUUGUUCCACUGAAACACAGAGGAACAAACUGGGAUCUCAGGAAAUAUGUUAUGUGUGGGAUAUACCACCCUCUAUCUAUAAUUUAUUUUUUAUCUCGUAUUCCCCAAAGCAACUCAAACUCCCAUCAGUUUUCUGUCACUUCAGGACUUGGGGUAGUGCUGCUGCUCCAAGUCUCUGUUUAGUUGACACAUCUUGCUGUGUCUUACAUGGAUUUCUCUUUUCCAGUCAUCCAACCACGAGCUGUGGCACUGCACUGAGAGCUGGGCACGGCAGGCACUGACUGAGCCAUGUCCAGGCUGGGCUUUAGGCUGGCAGGGACACGUGAAAUCACACACCAGAAAAGAGUGAGGCUUGUGUCACUCUGUCACAGCUGAUUAGCAAUGGAUUAAUUAAAAACAGGGCCUGGGACCUCAUUCUGCAAGAACCAGCACAGGAAGCAGGGCCCUGCUCUGCUGCUUGCUCCUAAGACAGGCUCAGCUGGGAGAACAGCAGUGGCAGCAAAUCCAUGAGGGUGUCAAGCUGAACCUCAGAGAUCAGUUUAACACAGCAGCCAGCAAAGCCAUCCUGGCUCCCAGGUGUGCCUGAGACUGUCCCCACAAUGGCUGUGCUCUGCAGAGAUGAUGGGGUCGUGCCCAGCUGGGGUGUGCUCUCCCAAGGUAGUACUGGCAGAAAGAAGAAACUCUUGCAAAGUGUCAUUUUUGCCAGCUUCCAGGAAAAUCAGUAAAAAUAGCACCAGAGCCAAUGGUUCAGGUUCCAAGACUGUCGUCCUACAGGGACAGAAACUCACUGGAAAUAAAGCAAUUUCCUUGUGUUACGUUCCCCCUCAUAAUGACAGUGUUCUAUUCAUUUUAAACACAUCUACACAUUCCUCACAUUCAUAGCACCAGAAUGUAAUUACAGGAGCAGAGUUUAUCUUUUUAUUUAUUGUUUCUUGAGUAAGUUGGAAGAUGCCCACUCCUGCUUGGAGAUGCACUGAAUGCCAAGGCAGCUUGCAGAACCUGCUGUGCUUCCCCAGCCCUCCACUCCCCCAGAAGUACAAAACCACCCCAGUGCCUUAGGAAAACGGGAAAAAGUGGUAGAAAAAACCUUCUAUAAAUUCAGACUCGAGCCACCACACUUUCUGCUGAAGUGUUUUGGGUUUAUGAUUUGGUUUUUUCUUCCUCUAAAGAAAGCAUUACUUUUCUGAGCAUUCCUGCAUAAGCUCUAGGGUUGCAGUUAUUUAGGUCUAGGGGAUACUUGCACUGCACACCAGGAACAGGACAGUACCUGUUACUGGUUUAGUUCUCCAAGUUAUUGCUAUAAAUUAAGCUGGAAAUCAACACAUUAUUCAUAUACUAGUGCCUUUAACAGAAUCCAGGGAUAAAGGUCUUUUGUAGUUUCCUGCUGUUGUGAGGUGCUUAAUAUAAUUACAGUUUUCUCUGCAUCUUAGUAACUGAAGGUAUUUUUUCAGAAUUACUGCCACAUAAGGCAGCAAAAAUACCCAUUUUUCCUGUCCCUUGCACCUGUGUCAGAGGAAAGUGACAAAAGAUCAGAUCUCUCCAGGUGGUAUAACUUUUAAAGCACAUCACACACGUUUUCUUAUUCUCCUGUCAGUUUGUUCUAAAGCAUAAAGAUGUUGAUGCCCUUAUUGUGUCUCUAAACACCCUUAUUCACAUUUCCCUUGUCUAAUUUUUCUAAGUUACUGAUCUCAGUGGGAGCUUCCUUUGUCACAGGGAAACCUCAGCCAUUUUUGGUACCUCUCAGAAAUCACACAGCAGCUGAUGGAAGCUCAGCCCUGUGAUGUCCCUACAGUGAACAGUAGUAUUUCACUUGUCUUGAUACUGAUAAGUUUUAUAACAAAACACGUUUCAUGUGUCUUGAAACAGAAAUUGAGUUGUUCUUAAGCCCUCAAAUGCUGUAUUGCACAGCCUUUGCAGGCUAUGGAUUAACAGCAUUGGAUGCUGUGCAUAGGAAAUGUACAGAAAUAAAGCUUUUCAAUCUUUUUCCUCUCUAUUGGUGCUCCAGCCACGAGGUUCUCCAAAACACUAACCAAUUCCUGGAUAAUGUCUCUGGCACAGCAUAAAUUCUGAUUUUGGAGAGAACUGGCAUUUCAGUUCAUGCCGCCAAGUCUGUGGCAGAAUUACCUCUUGCUUUGAAAGAAAACAAACUUAACUCUGUGGCUGAAAUUAGCUUUCACUUCCCUAUGAUGUGUUCCGAAGUGGCGUUUUAUCAGCUUUGUGUCUUGAAUUUGAAACAACUUCCUAAUAAAAAUAACCUGGAAUAAA